This 568-nucleotide ribosomal RNA is filed under the name uncultured bacterium. Its description in RNAcentral is "partial 16S ribosomal RNA". It matches the Rfam family "Bacterial small subunit ribosomal RNA", at positions 355 to 914 of the family's 1533-position model. The record is from RNAcentral.
UGGGGAAUUUUGGACAAUGGGCGAAAGCCUGAUCCAGCAAUGCCGCGUGUGUGAAGAAGGCCUUCGGGUUGUAAAGCACUUUUGUCCGGAAAGAAAAUCCUUGGCUCUAAUACAGUCGGGGGAUGACGGUACCGGAAGAAUAAGCACCGGCUAACUACGUGCCAGCAGCCGCGGUAAUACGUAGGGUGCAAGCGUUAAUCGGAAUUACUGGGCGUAAAGCGUGCGCAGGCGGUUUGCUAAGACCGAUGUGAAAUCCCCGGGCUCAACCUGGGAACUGCAUUGGUGACUGGCAGGCUAGAGUAUGGCAGAGGGGGGUAGAAUUCCACGUGUAGCAGUGAAAUGCGUAGAGAUGUGGAGGAAUACCGAUGGCGAAGGCAGCCCCCUGGGCCAAUACUGACGCUCAUGCACGAAAGCGUGGGGAGCAAACAGGAUUAGAUACCCUGGUAGUCCACGCCCUAAACGAUGUCAACUAGUUGUUGGGGAUUCAUUUCCUUAGUAACGUAGCUAACGCGUGAAGUUGACCGCCUGGGGGAGUACGGUCGCAAGAUUAAAACUCAAAUGAAUUGAC